RNAcentral lists this transfer RNA (64 nucleotides) under Leptogaster cylindrica. RNAcentral describes it as "tRNA-Leu". It matches the Rfam family "tRNA". From Rfam's summary of the family: Transfer RNA (tRNA) molecules are approximately 80 nucleotides in length. Lineage: Eukaryota; Metazoa; Arthropoda; Insecta; Diptera; Asilidae. The record is from RNAcentral.
ACUAUUUUGGCAGAUUAGUGCAAUAGAUUUAGAAUUUAUAUAUGUGGUUUAUACACAAAUAGUA